This 347-nucleotide long non-coding RNA is filed under the name Manihot esculenta (cassava). Its description in RNAcentral is "long non-coding RNA (MESC_LNC002262)". Lineage: Eukaryota; Viridiplantae; Streptophyta; Magnoliopsida; Malpighiales; Euphorbiaceae. The record is from RNAcentral.
CAUAAUCAUAAUUAUGAUCCCUCUGUGGGACCUCAACAAUGCCUCAAAGGGCAAAUACAUCAUGAGAUGAGUUGACUUCCAUAACAUUGUAAAACAUUUUGAUCAUGUAAUAAAAGGGAUACCUCAAUACAUAAUGUCAAGCACAAUAUCUAAUCCUCAAUAUCAAUACACAUAACAUAACUAUAACAUACUGAAAUCUCUUACAUUAAAUAAUAAUACAACUGUCAUGUCCACAACUAACAAUUACAUAUACACUUCAUAUCUCUGGCUAACCUCCUGGUCUACCCUGUACCUGCACAUCUGGGGUUAGGGGAGAGGGGUGAGCUACAAAGCCCAGUGAGCAGAAU